Molecule: ribosomal RNA, 1496 nt
Filed under: Phacus circumflexus
Lineage: Eukaryota; Euglenozoa; Euglenophyceae; Euglenales; Phacaceae
Description: partial 18S small subunit ribosomal RNA
Rfam family: Eukaryotic small subunit ribosomal RNA
Source: RNAcentral
GUGAUAGAGUGUGGAUGGCAUCACCUGCCCAGGUGCCCAGCUGGACAUCCUCCAAAACCUAGUGGCUAAUACACGGUCGCAACAGUCUGCCUCACCAAGGNUGCCCUGUUAACUGGAGCCUCAGCCCCAAGUGGCAGAGCCAGUGGUGGAUUGCACCCAGCUGUUGGCAAGACCAGCACCUGUAACAGGGUAGUGUGUGAAGGCUGACUNAGGCUNGUCCCUGUGCCUCUCUUGGGUUUGUGGACAGCUGCGCUGGCAGAGUGGUGGCCCAUGGCCACAGCAUNGNUUGAUCACNCGAGCUUCUGACCUAUCAGCNUGGACUGUGGUGUCUUGGACCACAGNGGCGGUGACGGGUGACAGAGAAUCAGGGUUUGNUUCUGGAGAGGGAGCNUGAGAGAUGGCUACCACUACCAAGGUGGGCAGCAGNCGNGCAANUUGCCCAAUGNUGAAGCACUCNUGGUGAGGCAGCAACGAACUGCAGCAAUCCCGCCUGUCCUUGUGACCAGUGGGACUUGGAUGGAUGCAAUCCAAACACAGUGAUGAGUAUCAACUGGAGGGCAAGUCUGGNGCCAGCAGCCGCGGUAAUUCCAGCUCCAUGAGUGUACACUAACACUGCUGCUGUUAAAACACUUGUAGUCGGAUGCUGGGUGCAGGUCUGCCAGGNGGCCGUCACACUGNUUGUGUGGNUGUGGGCCCCAGNGGUCUCCGCGGCUGGGCCUGUGUGAUGGGCCUCAACCCCUGGCAGUGAGCUCCUGUGCCCCAUGGNAAUGAUGGUGANAUGCUGCCCCUGCUCCAAGUCUCCUUCAGNGGGGAUCGNUGCCGUUGUGCAUGCCCAACGCACGUGUGUCUGGNUCUCAGGGUCANAGNUGUGUGCUCUGCAAGUCCCUGGCCCACNACCGGGGUCCACCAUCGCANUCACNGUGNANAACUCAGNGUGCCUCAAGCANCCAGUCCUGGNUGGAUGCUCGUNCAUGGAAUGACAAAGCAUUGACCUGAUGUGGCCUGUGGAGUUGUGCUGGCCUUGGUGCUCAUUCAGGGGAACCUGGUGCAGUGGCCUCUCCAUGGCCAGGCGGGNUAAGUANCUGCACACACCAGUGUGGCCUACUGGCCUGAUACUGGCCCGGGUUGGCUGGCUGUGCCUCUCAGCCAUGAUGGGACUGCUNGUGGUGAAGGGUACUGCAGCGCCAGUGGUGAAAUACUUAGACCGCUGCAAGACNAACUCCAGCGAAGGCGCUCUGCAAGUGCAUGUUNGUCGAUCAAGAAUGAGAGUGUGGNGAGCNAAGAUGAUCAGACACCGUCGUAGUCCACCACUGUAAACCAUGCCAGCUCAGUGUUGAAGGUGCAAGUCUCCGCUGACUCCUCCAGCGCUAUGCCCCCAGCAACGAGAAAUCCAAGCCUUUGGGUUCAGGGGGAAGUACUGUCGCAAGGCUGAAACUUAAAGGAAUUGACGGAAUGGCACCACCNGGCGUGGAGUGUGCGGCUAAUUGACUCAACAC